GUGUAUCUCAACAGAGUUGUUAGACUUAACUUUAUUUGUGUUUUAGCUGAGUUAGUUAGUUUGUUAAGAGAUUGAUUGGGUUGCAAGAAAUCUCAAUCUAUAAAUAGUGAGGUACUCUAUUAUUGAUUGUAACAAUUUGAAAGUGAAUAAUUGUAGUCUUCAUUGUUUAAAAGGAGAGUGAAACUCUUCAGAAUUUCUAAACUCUUUUUCUUCUUUCUUCUCUCGAUAAAUC
This 232-nucleotide long non-coding RNA is filed under the name Lathyrus oleraceus (garden pea). RNAcentral describes it as "Pisum sativum (pea) long non-coding RNA (PSAT_LNC009362)". Lineage: Eukaryota; Viridiplantae; Streptophyta; Magnoliopsida; Fabales; Fabaceae. The record is from RNAcentral.